Molecule: ribosomal RNA, 477 nt
Filed under: uncultured bacterium
Lineage: Bacteria
Description: partial 16S ribosomal RNA
Rfam family: Bacterial small subunit ribosomal RNA
Source: RNAcentral
GACGAACGCUGGCGGCGUGCUUAACACAUGCAAGUCGAACGGUGAAGCCCUUCGGGGUGGAUCAGUGGCGAACGGGUGAGUAACACGUGAGCAACCUGCCCCUGACUCUGGGAUAACUACCGGAAACGGUGGCUAAUACCGGAUAUUACUUGCCUGGGCAUCUGGGUGGGUGGAAAGUUUUUCGGUUGGGGAUGGGCUCGCGGCCUAUCAGCUUGUUGGUGGGGUGAUGGCCUACCAAGGCGACGACGGGUAGCCGGCCUGAGAGGGCGACCGGCCACACUGGGACUGAGACACGGCCCAGACUCCUACGGGAGGCAGCAGUGGGGAAUAUUGCGCAAUGGGCGAAAGCCUGACGCAGCGACGCCGCGUGGGGGAUGUAGGCCUUCGGGUUGUAAACCUCUUUCAGCAGGGAAGAAGCGUGAGUGACGGUACCUGCAGAAGAAGCACCGGCUAACUACGUGCCAGCAGCCGCCGUAA